GGCGGGUUAACGGGGAGAGAUAAUAAUUCUGGUGGGGACGAUGAAACCAGUAGCCGAUCGUCGCGUCCGUUCAUUCGUUCGUCGGUCUCAACAUUCGGUAACCAGUGUAACCAAUUUAAUCGUGAACCAGUGGGACCGAACGACACCAGACGAGUCUCGUCGUUUUUCAACCGAUUGCGGUUUUUUUCGCGGGGAACUAUAGUCACCGCGGUCGCCCUCGACGGAUUUGUGCAGGGUAGGCACCCGCGUACUAUAGAGCGAA
Non-coding RNA from Cinara cedri, 262 nucleotides. NCBI's taxonomy places the organism in Eukaryota, Metazoa, Arthropoda, Insecta, Hemiptera, Aphididae. The record is from the annotation of a GenBank genome assembly.